AUUGAACGCUGGCGGCAUGGCUAAACAUGCAAGUCGAACGCACCAGCAAUGGUGAGUGGCGAAAGGGUCAGUAAUACGAUCGAACGUGCCCCGAGGUGGAGGAUAGGCAUGGGAAACUGUGCGUAAUACUCCAUGUGAUCUACGGAGGAAGCCGCAAGGCGCCUUGGGAGCGGCGAUCGUCCUAUCAGGUAGUUGGUAAGGUAACGGCUCACCAAGCCUAAGACGGGUAGCAGGUGUGAGAGCACGACCUGCGACAUCGGGACUGAGACACGUGCCCGGACUCCUACGGGAGGCUGCAGUAACGAAUCUUCCGCAAUGGGCGAAAGCCUGAUCCAGCCAUGCCGCGUGAGUGAAGAAGG
Molecule: ribosomal RNA, 359 nt
Filed under: uncultured bacterium
Lineage: Bacteria
Description: bacterial SSU rRNA
Rfam family: Bacterial small subunit ribosomal RNA
Source: RNAcentral